GGAGGCUGCGCAAACCUGGUAUGCUUCCGGGUUCGGGACCCGGCGGUCCGUGUUCAAAUCACGGCGACCCCA
RNAcentral lists this transfer RNA (72 nucleotides) under Microcaldota archaeon. RNAcentral describes it as "Candidatus Micrarchaeota archaeon (hot springs metagenome) tRNA-Pro". The record is from RNAcentral. Lineage: Archaea; Nanobdellati; Microcaldota.